Boleophthalmus pectinirostris (great blue-spotted mudskipper) is the source of this 3098-nucleotide long non-coding RNA. RefSeq lists it as uncharacterized. The transcript has 4 exons. The record is from RefSeq and is a predicted model, not a curated record. NCBI's taxonomy places the organism in Eukaryota, Metazoa, Chordata, Actinopteri, Gobiiformes, Gobiidae.
GAAAUCGCAGCCAUACGUGCCUCGCACCGGAGCUGAACUAUAUCUAUGAGAAAAAGGCUAUACAUUGAAGUGCUCCUCCUACAAGCCUGGUGAAGAUCAUCUGUCAGCUAUUAGUUAAUCAAGACUGGGCAGGAGAGCGGAGGACUGGCAACGCGUGGGACAGGGUGCACGGGACAGGUCUGGCUUUGAGCAAGACGAGAGGGCACAAGCGCAGGAUCCUAGCUGCUUCGUCACAGCCCAAAGCACUUUAAUCAACACCAAGCACUCAGGACUGACAGGCGGCAACCUCAGCAUGACCCCUCCCUCCACUAACAGAGGCUGAAUUGUCACUCCCUCAUUGGUUGGUGCUGGAACAGAGGUAAGCAGCACGUUUAUCAGGAUCACAGUGUUCUAAUAUUUCCUCAAACAGGACAUGAGUCAGUGUGGCAGAGACUGAACAUCCAGGUUUUCAGAAGCACAAGUCAAAACACCAUGAGCGGGUAAGAACAACAUCAAGGGGCAAAAGUUUGAUGGUCUAGAAAAGUCAUUACUUGCAUAUUCACCUUGUUAAAAUUGAAUGGAGCUGUACCCUAUAUUAUUUGUAUUAGAAUGUACUGUUAUUCCUGCCCCUUUAGUCCUUUCUCUCACUCAAAUGCUGAACCAUGACAGAGAAACAGAAUUCGGGGAUAGUCCAUGCUUUAUACAACUGUCAAUUUUAGCUAAUUAUGUCCUCUCUUCCACAAACAGGAGCUUUUACAACAUUGUAGUGUAAUAUUGUAUACUUUAUUUAAUACACUGGUUUUACACUUGAUGCCCUUGCUGACAACCCAUUUCUCUGUUUAAGCAGGCUUAGGACUGGCCCAAAGAUUUCAAAGGCUUGUAGUCCCAUGCUCUCCGGCUCCAUUUCACUCCAUCACUUCGAUAACAAUGACAAGUCCAAAUAGCAGUGGGCCCCAGUGAGUCUGUGUAGGUCACAUUAUGAAUCUCCAUUUAAGCCUAAGACGCGACUCCACAGGCACUCAGUAAAACUGCACUGACAGAGCUGAGGCAAAGCAGACGCCAGCGCCAAUGUCAGAGAAUACAGCUGUGUUCAGUAUCAGCGCAUGGACCUGGGCUAGACCAAGCUAAACGUUUCCAGGCUUUCACGCCCUGUCUUCUCUCAUUUAGUCCUGCAGCAUCUCUUUGCAGCCCCAUCUCCAGCUAAACAACAAUCAGGAUAUAGCAGGCUGUUUAAAAGGGCCCAUAUUACUUUGUAUUCUGAUCUAUGUUAUAAUGUUGUUUCUUCAUCGCAAGCAUACCUAGAGUUGUGUUUUGUUUCAUUUAACACACAAACCCUGUAUCUUUAGGCAGAGUUGUUCUCCCUCACUGAAAACACUCUGAUUCCUGAAGUUCUCCACUAUGUUUUUAAACUCCAUCCACUUUCACUAGAAUCAUUUGGAUAAUUUCAGCUCUGGAAUUGCAAAUCUCUACCAAGAUAAAGGUUAAAGGGAGCUGCUAACUUGAAAACUAUUGCUUCAUUACAUCACAAAGUGAAACAGAGCAUUUUGAGCUUUGAAGAUGUAGACAGACUAAUAAUAAAGAAACAUGGCUGAACAUAACUCCAGGUAUGUUUUGAAGGAGGUAAAAACAUUAUAACAUGGCUUUAAGCUCAAAAGAGUCAGCAUAAUACAGGACCUUUAACUUAUCCCAGUUAAACGUUAUGAGUUUAAGAUAGUUGGGGUUAUGAAGGUACACAUAAUUGACAACACUGUGGAAAAGAGCAAGAAAGGUUAAAAAAAAAGAAAAGAAAGAUAAGAUAGAUAAAAAGAAAGAUAAAUUUCAUUUGCUAGUUUAAUAUUUAUUUAUUUAUUUCUGUUAUAGUCAUGGAGAAUUAUAACCAUUUCCAAUUACAACUCUGUUUUAAAAGGCCGGCAAUGUUCCCUGGGUAAAAAGUGCCCUUUAUCCUCCCAGUGCCAUUCCCUAGGCACUAUGUAACACUUCUGGUGGAGGGUCCGUCACCAGCUUGUCAUAUUUGGUUGGAAUCUUCCAUAGUAUAGUAUUAAAUAAAUUAAAUAUUUAGCAUUUAUCAAAUUCCAGGUUGCAUUGCUCAAAAUACCACAUGAAUAGGGCACCUUUAAGACUGAGGAUUGAUUUUCAUUUGGAAUUGAAAGCUCUUGACAUUUCUGGUCCAAUAUUAAUACACCCAUUGUUGCCUGGCAGGGGUGGCAGGGUUUCAAUAAUCACAUCACAUCUUACAACAUGUGCUUGUCUUCUCCCUGAUCGUUAAUUGUUUGCCUUAAGCUGGACUUUUUACCCAGCAAAUCAUCAACUUUGCUUUCUAUUAAAGGCUCAAAUGAAACACUAUCUUCAGCCUCAGAUUUAAACCAAAGUCAUGGCCAGAUUCAUGUUUGGGGGAACCACAGUGACAUAUGGGCAGCAUCAAGAAACACAUGUGCCAGGCCAAACCACCGCAAGUGACCCCGGGGUGACAGGGCUGCCCCAGGCCCAAGUCAAGUAUGUCAAAGUGGGGCAUGUGGGUUUCAUUUAGAGCCUGAUUGGUCCACAGACGCAUUACUGCACCCCCCAUCCUGUCACCCCCUACCCGCCGCAUGGGAAACCCACUCCCAACAGGAAAUGGUAUGUUUUACUUAGCUACAAACAAGCAUAAAUUCUUAUAAUGGAGCCCUAAUUUAUCACACACAGUCCUGUUGUUGAUAUUUAAAAUGUGUUUUUGAGGAAGUUACCAUUAGUUAAUGAUAUUUGUAUUCCUAAUGAUAUGUUUUGUUAUCAUGUCUGUGCUCUUUAUGGUGUAGUAUAUGUCAAAUAAAUGUGGGCUUUGUCUUGUGUCAUUUCUUUUCAAUGUUGCCAAAAUAAUAAAAAAUAAAUAAAAAAAUAAAAUAAAAUCUGAAUCUUUUGCUAGGAUAAACACAUUUUUUCAAAGUAAUCAAACAAUGGGAGGAAUCAAUUUUUUCUUUUUGUCAAACACAUUUUUACAAUAUACAUAAUGGAUAAUACAGUAUGAUUAGGUGGUUGAAGUGGUUUGGGAAAAGAUACAAUUGGAUGAGUCCAUUGCAUAAGGUAAGGUCUGUCAAACUAUGAGACAAUGUUAUGUAACUAAGAUUAAGAGAUUUCUUAAGCCU